This 888-nucleotide ribosomal RNA is filed under the name uncultured bacterium. RNAcentral describes it as "bacterial SSU rRNA". It matches the Rfam family "Bacterial small subunit ribosomal RNA", at positions 8 to 853 of the family's 1533-position model. The record is from RNAcentral.
AGAGUUUGAUCAUGGCUCAGGACGAACGCUGGCGCGCGUGCCUAAUACAUGCAAGUCGAGCGAGCUUGCCUAGAUGAUUUUAGUGCUUGCACUAAAUGAAACUAGAUACAAGCGAGCGGCGGACGGGUGAGUAACACGUGGGUAACCUGCCCAAGAGACUGGGAUAACACCUGGAAACAGAUGCUAAUACCGGAUAACAACACUAGACGCAUGUCUAGAGUUUGAAAGAUGGUUCUGCUAUCACUCUUGGAUGGACCUGCGGUGCAUUAGCUAGUUGGUAAGGUAACGGCUUACCAAGGCAAUGAUGCAUAGCCGAGUUGAGAGACUGAUCGGCCACAUUGGGACUGAGACACGGCCCAAACUCCUACGGGAGGCAGCAGUAGGGAAUCUUCCACAAUGGACGAAAGUCUGAUGGAGCAACGCACGCGUGAGUGAAGAAGGGUUUCGGCUCGUAAAGCUCUGUUGGUAGUGAAGAAAGAUAGAGGUAGUAACUGGCCUUUAUUUGACGGUAAUUACUUAGAAAGUCACGGCUAACUACGUGCCAGCAGCCGCGGUAAUACGUAGGUGGCAAGCGUUGUCCGGAUUUAUUGGGCGUAAAGCGAGUGCAGGCGGUUCAAUAAGUCUGAUGUGAAAGCCUUCGGCUCAACCGGAGAAUUGCAUCAGAAACUGUUGAACUUGAGUGCAGAAGAGGAGAGUGGAACUCCAUGUGUAGCGGUGGAAUGCGUAGAUAUAUGGAAGAACACCAGUGGCGAAGGCGGCUCUCUGGUCUGCAACUGACGCUGAGGCUCGAAAGCAUGGGUAGCGAACAGGAUUAGAUACCCUGGUAGUCCAUGCCGUAAACGAUGAGUGCUAAGUGUUGGGAGGUUUCCGCCUCUCAGUGCUGCAGCU